CAGGGAUUGCCUCAGUAACGGCGAGUGAAGCGGCAACAGCUCAAAUUUGAAAUCUGGCCCUUUCGGGGUCCGAGUUGUAAUUUGUAGAGGGUGUUUCGGGCGCGGCGCCGGUCUAAGUCCCUUGGAACAGGGCGUCACAGAGGGUGAGAAUCCCGUAUGUGACCGGUGACCAACCCCAUGUGAAACCCCUUCGACGAGUCGAGUUGUUUGGGAAUGCAGCUCAAAAUGGGUGGUAAAUUUCAUCUAAAGCUAAAUACCGGCCAGAGACCGAUAGCGCACAAGUAGAGUGAUCGAAAGAUGAAAAGCACUUUGGAAAGAGAGUCAAACAGUACGUGAAAUUGUUGAAAGGGAAGCGCUUGCAACCAGACCUGUCCGCGGGCGUUCAGCCUCCGUUCUCGGGGGCGCACUCGUCCGCGAUCAGGCCAGCAUCGGUUCGGGCGGCGGGACAAAGGCCUUGGGAAUGUAGCUCCCCUCGGGGAGUGUUAGAGCCCUCGGUGCAAUGCCGCCAGCCCGGACCGAGGACCACGCUUCGGCUAGGAUGCUGGCGUAAUGGUUGUAAGCGACCCGUCUUGAAACACGGACCAAGGAGUCUAACAUCUAUGCGAGUGUUUGGGUGUCAAACCCAUGCGCGCAAUGAAAGUGAACGGAGGUGAGAACCCCCCGCGGGGCGCAUCAUCGACCGAUCCAGAUGUCUUCGGAUGGAUUUGAGUACGAGCAUAGCUGUUGGGACCCGAAAGAUGGUGAACUAUGCCUGAAUAGGGUGAAGCCAGAGGAAACUCUGGUGGAGGCUCGCAGCGGUUCUGACGUGCAAAUCGAUCGUCAAAUUUGGGUAUAGGGGCGAAAGACUAAUCGAACCAUCUAGUAGCUGGUUCCUGCCGAAGUUUCCCUCAGGA
RNAcentral lists this ribosomal RNA (893 nucleotides) under Lecanora campestris. Its description in RNAcentral is "LSU rRNA". It matches the Rfam family "Eukaryotic large subunit ribosomal RNA", at positions 69 to 978 of the family's 3401-position model. Lineage: Eukaryota; Fungi; Ascomycota; Lecanoromycetes; Lecanorales; Lecanoraceae. The record is from RNAcentral.